UACAGAGACUGCAAGCGUUAUUCGGAUUCACUGGGCGUAAAGGGUGCGCAGGCGGCCAAGUGUGUGAGGCGUGAAAGCCCAGGGCUUAACCCUGGAAUUGCCUUUAAGACUGCAUCGCUAGAAUCGUGGAGAGGUGAGUGGAAUUCCGAGUGUAGAGGUGAAAUUCGUAGAUAUUCGGAAGAACACCAGUGGCGAAGGCGACUCACUGGACACGUAUUGACGCUGAGGUGCGAAAGCGUGGGGAGCAAACAGG
RNAcentral lists this ribosomal RNA (253 nucleotides) under uncultured bacterium. RNAcentral's name for it is "partial 16S ribosomal RNA". It matches the Rfam family "Bacterial small subunit ribosomal RNA", at positions 524 to 776 of the family's 1533-position model. The record is from RNAcentral.